UGCAAGUCGAACGAUGAAACCGCCCUCGGGCGGACAUGAAGUGGCGAACGGGUGAGUAACACGUGACCAACCUGCCCCUUGCUCCGGGACAACCUUGGGAAACCGAGGCUAAUACCGGAUACUCCUCGCCCCCCUCCUGGGGGCCCGGGAAAGCCCAGACGGCAAGGGAUGGGGUCGCGGCCCAUUAGGUAGUAGGCGGGGUAACGGCCCACCUAGCCCGCGAGGGGUAGCCGGGUUGAGAGACCGACCGGCCACAUUGGGACUGAGAUACGGCCCAGACUCCUACGGGAGGCAGCAUG
This 299-nucleotide ribosomal RNA is filed under the name uncultured bacterium. RNAcentral describes it as "partial 16S ribosomal RNA". It matches the Rfam family "Bacterial small subunit ribosomal RNA", at positions 56 to 353 of the family's 1533-position model. The record is from RNAcentral.